AUGUACCACGCGUACACUGCGGUUCCUGCGCGCCGUCCGCGCCUACCUGACGGCUGCUCGCUACGUUUUGUUAGCC
RNAcentral lists this small RNA (76 nucleotides) under Xanthomonas vasicola pv. vasculorum NCPPB 1381. Its description in RNAcentral is "sX9". It matches the Rfam family "Xanthomonas sRNA sX9". Lineage: Bacteria; Pseudomonadati; Pseudomonadota; Gammaproteobacteria; Lysobacterales; Lysobacteraceae. The record is from RNAcentral.